RNAcentral lists this transfer RNA (72 nucleotides) under Actinoplanes octamycinicus. RNAcentral's name for it is "Actinoplanes ianthinogenes subsp. octamycini tRNA". It matches the Rfam family "tRNA". Rfam says of the family: Transfer RNA (tRNA) molecules are approximately 80 nucleotides in length. Their secondary structure includes four short double-helical elements and three loops (D, anti-codon, and T loops). Lineage: Bacteria; Bacillati; Actinomycetota; Actinomycetes; Micromonosporales; Micromonosporaceae. The record is from Rfam by way of RNAcentral.
GCCCCGGUAGCUCAGCGGGAGAGCGCCGCCGUCACAGGGCGGAAGUCGCUGGUUCGACACCAGCUCGGGGCA